This 859-nucleotide long non-coding RNA is filed under the name Oryza sativa aromatic subgroup. Its description in RNAcentral is "lncRNA OsARC_06g0017510". Lineage: Eukaryota; Viridiplantae; Streptophyta; Magnoliopsida; Poales; Poaceae. The record is from RNAcentral.
CCACCGUCGUCCCCGUCCCCGUCGCUGUCGCCCCACCGCUCGUCGGAGCCGGUGGCCGCCGUCGUCCCCGUCGCCGUCGCCCCACCGCUCGUCGGAGCCGGCGGCCACCGCUGCGGGGGAGGCGGCGACGACGAGGAGAAUGGCGACAGGUGCGGUGAACAAGAGGGAGAGCGGGAGCGGGGGCGCGGAGGCCGCUGCCGGCGCCGGGGAAGCCGCCGCUGGCUCAGGACCCCGGCCGCCGAGGAGGACGACGACGGCGCGGCCUCGGCAAGGGUCGCCCUCAAGCUCGCCUCCCUUGCCGCGCCGCUCUGGCUCCCCGCCCUUGUCGGUCUGCUCAUUGGCUGCCCCGCCUCGCCGACCACCGGAUUCGCCACUGCCUCCUCCACGCUUCGCCUCGCCGAUCACCGGAUUCGCGCACCGCCUCCUUCUCCUGCUCCACCACGCGGCUGCCUCCUCCUCUCUCUCCUCCUGCUCCAGGCUACUGGUACCAGGUAUCACGGGUACCAGGAGGCGGCGGGAGCAGCGGGCAAGGACGACGGCGACCUUGGCGAGGAGCGCGAGGGAGGAGGGGAGAGGCCCCGGCGCCGGCAGCAACGAGAGCGCCAGUGGAAGAAGCAGCGCCACAGCGCGUGGAGGCGGCACCGCAGCGGGCGGAGGACGACGUCGUGGAGGUGCGGCGAGAUCACCCUCGACGCCGCCCCGACCUCGCCGACGCCGUGCCGUCGUCGUCCACGGCCACCGGAGACGACGACGACCCCUUCCUCCUGGCCAGCUUCAUCUCCGCCUCUCGUUUUCUUCUCCUGUGAGAGAGAGAGAGUUUGUGGAGGGGAAAGGAAGGAGAUAAGGUAGUGGAGAUCUU